RNAcentral lists this ribosomal RNA (496 nucleotides) under uncultured bacterium. RNAcentral describes it as "partial 16S ribosomal RNA". It matches the Rfam family "Bacterial small subunit ribosomal RNA", at positions 28 to 506 of the family's 1533-position model. The record is from RNAcentral.
GAUGAACGCUGGCGGCGUGCCUAAUACAUGCAAGUCGAGCGAACGGACGAGAAGCUUGCUUCUCUGAUGUUAGCGGCGGACGGGUGAGUAACACGUGGAUAACCUACCUAUAAGACUGGGAUAACUUCGGGAAACCGGAGCUAAUACCGGAUAAUAUUUUGAACCGCAUGGUUCAAAAGUGAAAGACGGUCUUGCUGUCACUUAUAGAUGGAUCCGCGCUGCAUUAGCUAGUUGGUAAGGUAACGGCUUACCAAGGCAACGAUGCAUAGCCGACCUGAGAGGGUGAUCGGCCACACUGGAGGUGAGACGCGAUCCAGACUCCUACGGGAGGCAGCAGUAGGGAAUCUUGCGAAAUGGGCGAAAGCCUGACGGAGCAACGCCGCGUGAGUGAUGAAGGUCUGCGGAUCGUAAAACGCUGUUAUUAGGGAAGAACAUAUGUGUAAGUAACUGUGCACAUCUUGACGGUACCGAAACAGAAAGCCACGGCUAACUACGU